This 324-nucleotide ribosomal RNA is filed under the name Streptococcus sp. oral taxon E81. Its description in RNAcentral is "bacterial SSU rRNA". It matches the Rfam family "Bacterial small subunit ribosomal RNA", at positions 164 to 475 of the family's 1533-position model. Lineage: Bacteria; Bacillati; Bacillota; Bacilli; Lactobacillales; Streptococcaceae. The record is from RNAcentral.
UAAUACCGCAUGAUAUUAAUUGUCGCAUGAUAAUUAAUUGAAAGAUGCAAUUGCAUCGCUACCAGAUGGACCUGCGUUGUAUUAGCUAGUUGGUGAGGUAACGGCUCACCAAGGCGACGAUACAUAGCCGACCUGAGAGGGUGAUCGGCCACACUGGGAUUGAGACACGGCCCAGACUCCUACGGGAGGCAGCAGUAGGGAAUCUUCGGCAAUGGGGGGAACCCUGACCGAGCAACGCCGCGUGAGUGAAGAAGGUUUUCGGAUCGUAAAGCUCUGUUGUAAGAGAAGAACGGGUGUGAGAGUGGAUAUUUCACAUCUGGACGG